AUCCCAUGAUGUGGACACUUUCGUAGCAUGUUUUUAAAUCUAUCCUAGGCUUCAUCAAAAGACUCAGAUUCACCUUGACGGAAGACAGAUAUGUCAUGCUUGAGCUU
This 107-nucleotide small nucleolar RNA is filed under the name Olea europaea subsp. europaea. Its description in RNAcentral is "Plant small nucleolar RNA R71". It matches the Rfam family "Plant small nucleolar RNA R71". From Rfam's summary of the family: R71 is a member of the C/D box family of snoRNAs containing the C (UGAUGA) and D (CUGA) box motifs. Multiple nearly identical copies of this snoRNA have been identified in Arabidopsis, and it is thought to function as a 2'-O-ribose methylation guide for 18S ribosomal RNA. The record is from Rfam by way of RNAcentral. Lineage: Eukaryota; Viridiplantae; Streptophyta; Magnoliopsida; Lamiales; Oleaceae.